AGCCUGGAGGACUAGCGGUUAUGCCACAGCGCUCUCACUGGGUUCUCUGCGGGCCGGGUUCGAUUCCCGGCCAGGGAA
This is a non-coding RNA of Pangasianodon gigas (Mekong giant catfish), 78 nucleotides long. Lineage: Eukaryota; Metazoa; Chordata; Actinopteri; Siluriformes; Pangasiidae. The record is from the annotation of a GenBank genome assembly.